GAUGAAGAUAUUUCGAUUGAUGGGCUUAAGGUGUUUACUGAAGAACAAUUAUUGAAUAUGGCUUUGGAGGAAUCAUUGCAGAGUGAUGAGAAUGCUAAUAACCAGCCGGAGCUUCCAGAAGAAAAUUUGAAUGCUGGGGUGGUGAGAGAAACUGAGGAGGAAGUUAACGGGCACAAUUUGGAGGCUGCUCCUGCAUCAAAUGCAAAUAGAAGCACGAAUAAAAUGACUACAAGGAAGCGAAAAAAGGAGGAAACUUCCAAUAUUGAGGAAAAUUCUACUGCGAAGGUGGCUGAAAUUGUAAAAAUCAAACAAAAGCAGGAUGCAGACAGAGCUGUUGUUAAAUUACAUGCUUUCAAGUGGAAGAAGGAAAUUGCUAGUUCAUCGUCAGAAAGCAAAGAGAGGUUGAAGUCCUUGAGGUCUACAAAUUCUUCUGCAAAGGUUCCUCAUGUGAAAUCACUGAGCAGUGGAAAACACGAAACUCUGCAGCAUCCAACGACUGUACUUUUUGUAGAGGUUUACCAUAAAUCUCGCAAGAUGGUGAAGACUCAAGAGUUUUUGGCCCUUGCACGGCAAACAUUAGCAGAACUGAAGGACAAGAUUUAUUGCUCGACAGACAUGUUAAUGGAAAAGGCUGCACAGCAAGAUUCGUCUGGAUAUUUCCUCAUAGAAGAUGUUUUCUGCAAUGAUUUGAGGAAUCCAUCCGCAAUAGAUUAUAGCAAACCCAUAUUUGAUUGGCUUAGAAACUCUGAGGAUGAAGCACGUAAGAAAUGGGAGUGCAUAAUAACUGGUGAAUCGCAGCAGAAAAAUUCAGUUGUUGGCG
RNAcentral lists this unclassified non-coding RNA (820 nucleotides) under Hevea brasiliensis (rubber tree). Lineage: Eukaryota; Viridiplantae; Streptophyta; Magnoliopsida; Malpighiales; Euphorbiaceae. The record is from RNAcentral.